AUACGGAGGAUCCGAGCGUUAUCCGGAUUUAUUGGGUUUAAAGGGAGCGUAGGCGGACGCUUAAGUCAGUUGUGAAAGUUUGCGGCUCAACCGUAAAAUUGCAGUUGAUACUGGGUGUCUUGAGUACAGUAGAGGCAGGGGGAAUUUGGGGUGUAGGGGGGAAAUGCUUAGAUAUCACGAAGAACUCCGAUUGCGAAGGCAGCCUGCUGGACUGUAACUGACGCUGAUGCUCGAAAGUGUGGGUAUCAAACAGGAUUAGAUACCCUGGUAGUCCACACAGUAAACGAUGAAUACUCGCUGUUUGCGAUAUACAGUAAGCGGCCAAGCGAAAGCGUUAAGUAUUCCACCUGGGGAGUACGCCGGCAACGGUGAAACUCAAAUGAAUUGACGGGG
Molecule: ribosomal RNA, 393 nt
Filed under: uncultured bacterium
Lineage: Bacteria
Description: partial 16S ribosomal RNA
Rfam family: Bacterial small subunit ribosomal RNA
Source: RNAcentral